AUAUAAGAUGCAUUCAAUAUAUCUAUUUACGAAAAUAAAAGUCGCAAACUGAUUAUAUCAUCGUGUUUGUUUAUAUGCAAUAUGAAAGAACCUGAUACAUUUAUCAGGUUCUUUUUUGG
Molecule: small RNA, 119 nt
Filed under: Paenibacillus ferrarius
Lineage: Bacteria; Bacillati; Bacillota; Bacilli; Caryophanales; Paenibacillaceae
Description: Bacillus sRNA ncr1015
Rfam family: Bacillus sRNA ncr1015
Source: Rfam by way of RNAcentral